CCAGUCCCAGAAAGAAGAAUGCAGACCAAAAUUCAAGUGACAUAUGAUGAAAUGAUACCAGGAAGCCCAAGGAAAAGAAUCGCUUCCCAGAAUCACUUGACACCACCAAACUUCAGCUCAGGCAAAGAAGUGUAUGUUGAUCACAGUGAAGAAAUCCCCCACGGAAGCUAUAGCCAGUUGACUCCUUUUUCCAAGUCCUCAAGUGAUCUGGUUAUGACAACUACUGCUUCAAGUCUAACUGAUACAACGUACUCCUUCAAUUAUCAAGAAGAAGAGUAUACAAAUACAGAACGAGAAACUGGCGGAGAGCGAUCCCCAUUUUCGAAUGCGGAGAACAUCACUCAUCGGGGAGGUCAAAAAGAGGUGAAUCCAGAGAGCCCAAAUGAACUGAAGCAGAAUAGGAAUUAUGAUGAUUGGAUGGGAGGGGGUCCAACAGAUGAAAUGUUCCAAAAUUCCGUUUGCUCAAUUUGCAAUAACAGGAGACCGAAGAUUGGAUGGAAGAAAGACUUCACUUAUGCAGAGCUCCAUGCUGCUACUGAGGGAUUUUGCUACAAGAAUUUCCUAUCUGAAGGUGGUUUUGGUUCUGUCUACAGAGGAGAGCUUGGUGGGCUGAAGAUAGCUGUAAAGCAACACAAAAGUGCUAGCUUCCAAGGAGAGAAGGAAUUCAAGUCUGAAGUUAAUGUACUAAGCAAAGCAAGAAAUGUAAAUUUGGUGAUGCUUUUAGGUUCAUGUUCUGAAGGAAGUCACAGGCUGCUUGUUUAUGAAUAUGUCUGCAACGGUUCAUUGGAUCAGCAUCUAUCAAAACAUAGCCGCAGACCACUCAGUUGGGAAAAGAGGAUGAAAAUAGCUUUGGGAGCUGCAAAAGGCUUAAAAUAUCUGCAUGAUAACAACAUCAUCCACAGAGAUAUGAGGCCAAACAACAUCCUCAUAACCCAUGAUCAUGAAGCACUGCUUGGAGAUUUUGGUCUUGCAAGAACUCAACAUGACGAUUCAGAUCACUCAUGGGAGACCAGAGUCGUAGGA
This 1023-nucleotide unclassified non-coding RNA is filed under the name Hevea brasiliensis (rubber tree). Lineage: Eukaryota; Viridiplantae; Streptophyta; Magnoliopsida; Malpighiales; Euphorbiaceae. The record is from RNAcentral.